RNAcentral lists this unclassified non-coding RNA (356 nucleotides) under rhizosphere metagenome. RNAcentral's name for it is "partial ribosomal RNA internal transcribed spacer region". The record is from RNAcentral.
GUAGGUGAACCUGCGGAAGGAUCAUUAACACGUAUCCAACGUUAAACCCCCCUGUGGACUUUUACUCUUGCUCUCGAAGCUCAUCGGAACUGCAAUCCCUGGUAAAUCAUUGUUGAACAGAUUUUGAUUCAGGGACCUCAGUUUGGUGAGUUAGAUUGAGCGAUCGUGCGCAAGUGGCCUGGUUUCCCCAAGCAGUCAGUGUCUGGAAGUGUCAUUGAUUGUGUAAGGAGAACGCUUCUCGGCCGGUGACCAGGUUGCAGUGGCUUCGGCCCCCAUAUUCACCCCACUACCUUUUAGUCGCCUCGUAGGAAACUGCUGGGCAUCAAACGAACAACUGUUAACAAAUCUUGGUUCUC